AGCAUCUUAUGCCGAAGCUAGGGUUAAACUCCACCAAGCUGAGUAUUCAUCAGACUUGACAGACACAGAAAAUAUCUCAAGAAAAAAAAAGGCCAAGUGCAAAAAUCCUCCAGAGUCAACUGAGCACUCAACUGCAAUCAAGUGAGAAUUCAGAUUAUUCAGAGGAGCUUCCACCCACUCCACCAAACCAACUCCUUUGGCCAGCAGUGAGAGAAGUGAGCAAUUACUUCCAAAACCCCACUGCCCAACGAGGCACCAGCCCCACAGCUACAAUUACCAGUCCCACAGCCCGAGGAGUUGCCAGCUCCCCAGCUACAGUUACCAGCCCGACGGCCAGAGGAGUGUCCAGGCCCGCAGCCCGAGGAGUUGCCAGCUCCCCAGCUACAGUUACCAGCCCGAUGGCCCGAGGAGUGUCCAGCCCCACAGACCGAGGAGUUGCCAUCUCCCCAGCUACAGUUACCAGCCCGACGGCCCGAGGAGUGUCCAGCCCCACAGCCCGAGGAGUUGCCAGCUCCCCAGCUACAGUUACCAGCCCGACGGCCCGAGGAGUGUCCAGCCCCACAGCCUGAGGAGUUGCCAGCCCAACUUGUGAAGCCAUGUUCACUAAAAUUCUAACAGUUUUAAAAGAAGUGAAGGAGACACUACGUGUUCAUGGAAAGAUGUUGAAUGCCCUGCUGAAAAAGCAAGACGGAUUAAUGGUAGAGGUUCCUGAAGGAGUGGACUUACCUCUGAAAACCCAGGCUGACCUUGAGGCUCUUGAUCAGAAGCUGGGGGAUCGUAGUGUCAUGUCUGCUGUUGUUGCCAUGGUGGUAGAUGUGGGUGGCGCAAGUAUAGAUGAUGCAACGAGAAGAAUGAUGAAAUACGUCUUUUUAAAUGAGCUGGCAUUGGAGUAGAAUUUGUUUGGCCGUCAUGGGAAAAAAAGUUUAAAGAUUUGCGUAUUUUCAACGUUGUGUAUGAGGCUCUUAAGAACAACCCCCUGACAUCAAAGGUCAACCAGCAAGAAGCUGAGAGAGCACUGUCAAAAUGGUUUACUGGAGCAAGAGACAGAGGAGGACAAAGGGCAUCAAGAAUGCACCAAAAGAUGGCUGCAGUUUAAAUUUGACUGAAAAGGUUAUAAGGUUAUAAGUAGCUGCAUCUAGCUGUUGUAGUUCUUGUAUUUUUUUCUGACAAUCGUGUUCUCAGAUAUGGUGGGUUGGCAGCUUUCCCAAACACUUAUGGCUGGUUCUAAAAUAGUUUUGUGCCUUUGUGACAUAAACAUGACAUGAUGGUUAGUUAAAUAAAGCUGGAUUUUGAACAUAUUUCAGUCUCACUGUGUUCUCUACUGCUUUAAAACUUGUAUGUGUGGUGUUGCUUCUCGUUUAGAUGGAACGCAGAUGAUCCCUAGUUGGGCCACAUGCAUAUGAUUCCUAGUUGGGCCCCACCUACAGCCCGGAAGAUCCUGCAUAAAACCUAAAUGAGUAAGUUGCUUGGGCCAACAUGGAACCCGUGAA
Molecule: long non-coding RNA, 1490 nt
Organism: Carassius gibelio (silver crucian carp)
Lineage: Eukaryota; Metazoa; Chordata; Actinopteri; Cypriniformes; Cyprinidae
Exons: 4
Source: RefSeq, a predicted model, not a curated record